Molecule: long non-coding RNA, 1609 nt
Filed under: Arachis ipaensis
Lineage: Eukaryota; Viridiplantae; Streptophyta; Magnoliopsida; Fabales; Fabaceae
Description: long non-coding RNA (AIPA_LNC001474)
Source: RNAcentral
CCUUACAAAAUUGGAUUUAAAACAUUAUGCUUUUCUUAAUAAAUCUAGUUUAAAAAUAGAAUACACCUUUUCCCAACUAAAUAAAUCUCAAAUAAUUUAAUUUUCCAAAACCAAAUCUUUUAAAAUAACUUUUCAAAUAAAACCUCAGAUUUUUAUAAAAUUUCGGCAGCACUUCCCCUAAAACUCGGGGUUAGCCACCCUUUUUCGGGUCCCAACUGAACCAUUUUCAACCUCUUUUCAAUCGAGAAAUCAAGUACAUAUUCAUCAAACUCAGUCACAAACACAACUCAAACUCAUCAUUCAGUCAUUUCAAACAAUCAUAAAUUAUUUACAAAUACCCACUAGACUUCCAUGGCAUUCAUAGUUUAAAAACAGUUAAUUUCAGAACAAAAUUCCUACCUUCAUACGAAAUCAAAAUAACAGAAGCUUCGAAGAAGCUUUCUGAUCGAGCUGCUGAAGGAGUUACUUUUACUUUAUAUAAUUAAUUACCUUCUUUAAAAUUUUCGAAAACAAAUCUCAAUAACAACCUAUUAGCACAAGAAACAGAUCAACGCACAAACAAAUUGCAACAAGACAAACAGCACAAUCAUAGAGAAACAAGAUAAGCAAAUACAACCAAAUGCAAAUGUACAAACAAUAUGAUGCAUGCCUGUUCCUAGUGCAGGUCGUGAGCUCAUGCAUCGAUUGUCUACUCGCAACCCAACGUUACUCAGGGCGAACCCCGAAUAUGGUUUCUUUACUGUGUCAGUUAGACACCUUGGUAUCAUGGUUAACCGUGUCAGUUAGGCCUCUUCAUAAUAAUAUCUUAAUGUGCAUCACAGUAAGAAACAAUGCUAUCAGUUAGGCAAACAUUCCCGCAUUAGCAAUCUCAGGCUAUCAGUUAGGCGGGCCCUUUCACAUUAGCAGUUUGGUGCAAGGCCUAUUUACAUUUCAUUUUCAUGAAUCAUAAUCUAUUUCAAUUAUUUAUUUCACUCAUUUAUUUCACUCAUGACUUUUCAUUUUACCUCCACAUCACCAAUUACACACUCAUACCUCCUCAUCCCCAUAUUAUUAAACGUACCUCCGCAUCACUGCUUAACUAUACAUACCUCUGCAUCACCUUAUUUAUUAUUCACUUAUCAUUGCCUCAAGUUUCUAGACAGCCAAACUUCUUUAUCGUUUAAUAAAAAUUCCUUUCCUUAAUAAACUGAACUCAAAUUAUUACUUAAAAAAAACUCCCUUCUCAAAAGAUAGAAUUUAAAACAUUAUACUUUUCUUAAUAAAUCGAAUUUUAAAUAGAAUAAAUCUUUUCCCAACUAAAUAAAUCUCAAAUAAUUUAAUUUUCCAAAACCAAAUCUUUUAAAAUAACUUUUCAAAUAAAACCUCAGAUUUUUAUAAAAUUUCGGCAGCACUUCCCCUAAAACUCGGGGUUAGCCACCCUUUUUCGGGUCCCAACUGAACCAUUUUCAACCUCUUUUCAAUCGAGAAAUCAAGUACAUAUUCAUCAAACUCAGUCACAAACACAACUCAAACUCAUCAUUCAGUCAUUUCAAACAAUCAUAAAUUAUUUACAAAUACCCACUAGACUUCCAUGGCAUUCAUAGUUUAAAAACAGUUAAUUUCAAAACAA